RNAcentral lists this ribosomal RNA (314 nucleotides) under uncultured Rhizophydiales. RNAcentral's name for it is "partial large subunit ribosomal RNA". It matches the Rfam family "Eukaryotic large subunit ribosomal RNA", at positions 40 to 350 of the family's 3401-position model. The record is from RNAcentral. Lineage: Eukaryota; Fungi; Chytridiomycota; Chytridiomycetes; Rhizophydiales.
GUAUCAAUAAGCGGAGGAAAAGAAACUAACAAGGAUUCCCUUAGUAACGGCGAGUGAAGCGGGAACAGCUCAAAUUUGAAAUCUCAUACCUUUGGUAUGCGAAUUGUAGUUUAAAGAAGCGUUUUCUGAGUUGGCCUCAGUACAAGUUCUCUGGAACGAGACAUCAUAGAGGGUGAAAAUCCCGUCUUUGACUGAGAUACCAACUCUCUGCGAUACGUUUUCUAAGAGUCGGUUUGUUUGGGAAUGCAGACCAAAAUGGGUGGUAAAUACCAUCUAAAGCUAAAUAUUGGCGAGAGACCGAUAGCGCACAAGUA